GAUGAACGCUGGCGGCGUGCCUAAUACAUGCAAGUCGAGCGAACAGAUGAGGAGCUUGCUCCUCUGACGUUAGCGGCGGACGGGUGAGUAACACGUGGAUAACCUACCUAUAAGACUGGGAUAACUUCGGGAAACCGGAGCUAAUACCGGAUAAUAUAUUGAACCGCAUGGUUCAAUAGUGAAAGACGGUUUUGCUGUCACUUAUAGAUGGAUCCGCGCCGCAUUAGCUAGUUGGUAAGGUAACGGCUUACCAAGGCAACGAUGCGUAGCCGACCUGAGAGGGUGGUCGGCCAAACUGGAACUGAGACACGGUCAAGACUCCUACGGGAGGCAGCAGUAGGGAAUCUUCCGCAAUGGGCGAAAGCCUGACGGAGCAACGCCGCGUGAGUGAUGAAGGUCUUCGGAUCGUAAAACUCUGUUAUUAGGGAAGAACAAAUGUGUAAGUAACUAUGCACGUCUUGACGGUACCUAAUCAGAAAGCCACGGCUAACUACGUG
This 497-nucleotide ribosomal RNA is filed under the name uncultured bacterium. Its description in RNAcentral is "partial 16S ribosomal RNA". It matches the Rfam family "Bacterial small subunit ribosomal RNA", at positions 28 to 507 of the family's 1533-position model. The record is from RNAcentral.